CGUAUCUGAAAGUGGCAAACGGGUACGUAAGACAGUGGUAAUUUACCCUGAAGACGAGGACAACCAUUAGAAAUGAUGGCUAAUACUCGAUAGUCAUGGGGGGACGCUAGGUCAUUCCCAUGUAAAUACUUUUGUGCUUCAGGAGAAACCUUUGGCCUAUCAGCUUGUUGGUGAGGUAAAAGCUCACCAAGGCAACGACGGGUAGCGGGUGUGAGAGCACGACCCGCCUCAUUGGGACUGAGACACUGCCCAAACUCCUACGGGAGGCUGCAGUCAAGAAUCUUCCUCAAUGCUCGAAAGAGUGAAGGAGCGACGCCGCGUGCCAGAAGAAGCUCUUCGGAGUGUAAAUGGCUUUUAUGUGGGAAAAAUUUGCGAUGGUACCACAAGAAUAAGGGGCUGCUAACUUCGUGCCAGCAGCAGCGGUAAUACGAAGGCCCCAAGCGUUAUCCGGAUUUACUGGGCGUAAAGAGCUAAACGGUGGUGUAGUAAGUCGAGUGUUAAAGCUCGGAUCUCAAAUCCGAAUAUGCACUCGAAACUACUACACUCGAGGACGGGAGAGGCAAGUGGAAUUGCUGGUGUAGCAGUAGAAUGCGUUCAUAUCAGCAGGAACACCUAUAGCGAAGGCAGCUUGCUAGAACGAUCCUGACACUAAAUAGCGAAAGCGUGGGGAGCGAAUGGGAUUAGAUACCCCAGUAGUCCACGCCGUAAACGAUGGAUACUAGGUAUCAGGGGAUUCGACCCCCUUGGUAUCGCCAAGCUAACGCGUUAAGUAUCCCGCCUGGGGAGUACGGCCGCAAGGCUAAAACUCAAAGGAAUUGACGGGGAUCUGCACAAGCGGUGGAGCAUGUGGUUUAAUUCGACGAUAAGCGAGGAACCUUACCAGGUCUUGACAUCUCGGGAAGGUCCCAGAAAUGGGACUGUGCCUUCGGGAACCCGAUGACAGGUGAUGCAUGGUUGUCGUCAGCUCGUGUCGUGAGAUGUACCCUUAAGUGGGGUAACGAGCGCAACCCUACGCUAUGUUAAAUGUUCAUAGCGAACUGCCGUCGAUAAGACGGAGGAAGGUGGGGAUGACGUCAAAUCAGCAUGUCCCUUAUGAUCUGGGCGACACACGUGCUACAAUGGGUAUGACAAUGGGGCGCCAAGCCGCAAGGUGGAGCAAAUCCCAUCAAACAUACCCCCAGUUCGGAUUGAGGGCUGCAACUCGCCCUUAUGAAGCUGGAAUCGCUAGUAACCGCGUAUCAGCCAUGGCGCGGUGAAUACGUUCUCAGAUCUUGUACACACCGCCCGUCACAUCAGGGAAGCCGGCAAUACCCGAAGGCCCUUCAACAAGAAGGGACGAAGGUAGGGCUGGUGACAAGGAUGAAGUCGUAACAAGGCA
RNAcentral lists this ribosomal RNA (1378 nucleotides) under metagenome. RNAcentral describes it as "bacterial SSU rRNA". It matches the Rfam family "Bacterial small subunit ribosomal RNA". The record is from RNAcentral.